AGUGCUGUAGGCAAAUGGCUUAAGCCACUUGAAUUUCAAUCAAGCGAAUUGCGGGUUCAAAUCUCGUCAGCACUA
RNAcentral lists this transfer RNA (75 nucleotides) under Coleofasciculus sp. FACHB-1120. RNAcentral describes it as "tRNA-Glu". It matches the Rfam family "tRNA". From Rfam's summary of the family: Transfer RNA (tRNA) molecules are approximately 80 nucleotides in length. Lineage: Bacteria; Bacillati; Cyanobacteriota; Cyanophyceae; Coleofasciculales; Coleofasciculaceae. The record is from RNAcentral. RNAcentral also lists the same sequence under 5 other names.